UUCGGAUCGGAAACGACGGGCAAUGGGUGAGUAUACAUAUGCAACCUGCCCGUAGCUGGAGAAUACUUGAGGAGGGGGAAAUUAAUACUCCAUAAUAUUCUAGUAUCGCAUGUUAUUAGAAUUAAAGCUUCGGUGGCUACGGAUGGGCAUAUGUCCCAUUAGCUUGUUGGUGAGGUAACUGCUCACCAAGGCUACGAUGGGUAGGGGGUCUGAGAGGAUGAUCCCCCACACUGGUACUGAGACACGGACCAGACUCCUACGGAGAGGCAGCAGUGAGGAAUAUUGGUCAAUGGGCGAAAGCCUGAACCAGCCAUGCCGCGUGCAGGAUGACAGUCCUACGGAUUGUAAACUGCUUUUCUGCAAGAAGAAAUGUUCCGACGUGUCGGGAUUUGACGGUAUUGCAGGAAUAAGCAUCGGCUAACUCCGUGCCAGCAGCCGCGGUAAUACGGAGGAUGCAAGCGUUAUCCGGAUUCAUUGGGUUUAAAGGGUGCGUAGGCGGAUUAGAUAGUCAAAGGUGAAAGCCUGCAGCUUAACUGUAGAAGUGCCUUUGAUACUGCUAAUCUUGAGUACAGUUGAGGCGAGUGGAAUGUGUAAGUGUAGCGGUGAAAUGCAUAGAUACUACACAGAACAACAAUUGAGAAGGCAGAUCGAUAAGCUGUUACUGACGCUCAGGCACGAAAGCGUGGGGAGCGAACAGGAUUAGAUACCC
RNAcentral lists this ribosomal RNA (709 nucleotides) under uncultured organism. RNAcentral describes it as "bacterial SSU rRNA". It matches the Rfam family "Bacterial small subunit ribosomal RNA", at positions 79 to 787 of the family's 1533-position model. The record is from RNAcentral.